GACGAACGCUGGCGGCGUGCCUAAUACAUGCAAGUCGAGCGAAGUUUUUCUGGUGCUUGCACUAGAAAAACUUAGCGGCGAACGGGUGAGUAACACGUAAAGAACCUGCCUCAUAGACUGGGACAACUAUUGGAAACGAUAGCUAAUACCGGAUAACAGCAUUAACUGCAUGGUUGAUGUUUAAAAGUUGGUUUUGCUAACACUAUGAGAUGGCUUUGCGGUGCAUUAGCUAGUUGGUGGGGUAAAGGCCUACCAAGGCGACGAUGCAUAGCCGACCUGAGAGGGUGAUCGGCCACACUGGGACUGAGACACGGCCCAGACUCCUACGGGAGGCAGCAGUAGGGAAUCUUCCGCAAUGGGCGAAAGCCUGACGGAGCAACGCCGCGUGAGUGAAGAAGGAUUUCGGUUCGUAAAGCUCUGUUGUUAGGGAAGAAUGAUUGUGUAGUAACUAUACACAGUAGAGACGGUACCU
This 472-nucleotide ribosomal RNA is filed under the name Gemella haemolysans. RNAcentral's name for it is "bacterial SSU rRNA". It matches the Rfam family "Bacterial small subunit ribosomal RNA", at positions 28 to 480 of the family's 1533-position model. The record is from RNAcentral. Lineage: Bacteria; Bacillati; Bacillota; Bacilli; Caryophanales; Gemellaceae.